GCCUGUGAACCUCGGCGGACCUAUUAAGCCGCCUUUGCACGGCGGAGGUCAGGGGUUCGAAUCCCCUCGGCUCCA
This 75-nucleotide transfer RNA is filed under the name Chloroflexota bacterium. Its description in RNAcentral is "tRNA-Ser". The stretch from base 17 to 75 matches the Rfam family "tRNA". Rfam says of the family: Transfer RNA (tRNA) molecules are approximately 80 nucleotides in length. Their secondary structure includes four short double-helical elements and three loops (D, anti-codon, and T loops). Lineage: Bacteria; Bacillati; Chloroflexota. The record is from RNAcentral.